This 69-nucleotide transfer RNA is filed under the name Amphioplus laevis. Its description in RNAcentral is "tRNA-Asp". Lineage: Eukaryota; Metazoa; Echinodermata; Ophiuroidea; Amphilepidida; Amphiuridae. The record is from RNAcentral.
AGAGGUUUAGUUAAUUUAUAACGUUGGUCUGUCUCACUAAAAUAAUGGGGGGAGUUCCCAUAGCCUCUU